This 3173-nucleotide long non-coding RNA is filed under the name Otus sunia (Oriental scops-owl). RNAcentral describes it as "lncRNA (ENSOSUG00000013369.1)". Lineage: Eukaryota; Metazoa; Chordata; Aves; Strigiformes; Strigidae. The record is from RNAcentral.
AGAGGCGGCGCAAGGCCGACGGCGGCGGGACAGGACGCGGCGCCGGUUUGCGGGCGCCCGCCCUGCCCCGCCCUGCCCCGCCCAGGGAACAACCGUGUCCGUCUGGGGCGUCAGCGCCCGAGUGCUGCCCGGGCGGGCUGGGAAGGGGACUCCCUACCGAGGGACGGAGAGACAGACCCUGCCGGGGCUGCGAGGGAGGAGAACGUGGGGGCGCAGGUGUGCCGGCUUGGGAAGAGACCGCACGGGAACGGAGCCUCGAGAUCAACUCCAAGUUCUCUGUACUGUUGAACUAAUGCAGCAAGUCCACCUGACCGCUAGAUUUGCUGUUUGUACCAAGGGAACAUGGCACAGGGAGAUCUCCAUCUCUGGAACAAAAAAGCAGUCACGUUUCAGCAUCUGUUUCUUGAUGAUACAGAACACUGAAAACAUGGUGAUCCCGCUGUAUUUAUUGAGCAGCAGUCUCAAAGAGCCAAACCAAGGGAACUAAGGCAAAUGUUAAUGAAACGUUGAAGUUGAGAUUUUAAUUACUUAAAGGUCAGCACAUUCGAAGUUUAUUAAUUUAAAAAGUUAUUCUGUAUUCCCACAGCAAUCCCCACUCUGCUCUUACAUAAAGAAUUCAAGUUACUGUUUAUUUGCUGAUGCAUGAAAAUUAUAUAACUGAAUGUUAUACCUGAAUAUUUUUUGCAGUUAUUAACACUUCUCUGUAUAUUUUUUACAUUCCCAUACUUUUCAGUAUCAAUAAACCCUUUUUUUUUUCUCUAAUCUUUGUUCAAAAUUAACAAAAGCUACCCGUCCUUUCAAGCUUGGAACCUCUAUUCACUUAGCAACAUUUGUUGCUAAACUAUCACAAAACACGCACAGACACUCUGCAAACUAAUGUAUCAGAACAGUAUUAUGACUUCAUGAAAAUACUUUCCGAAAGAUACUUUUAUAAAGUUUUGGCUUCCAAAAUACAACAGCACCUGCAAUCUGUUCUCAAAACAGGAAAAACAUGUUUGGAAAAGUUUGAGAAACGAUUCCCAGAAAAGCCUGUGAGGGGGAUGAAAACACCGUAGUUUCAGAACCUUCUGCACAAACCCCACUUGUAGGCUAUUGAAAAAAUUCUUUCACAAAAUGAUCAUCAUGUAAAAAUCACUGGGGUUUUGUUGGUAGAAAAAAAGGUUCUUUCCCAGUGAAUGAGGUAGACAGUUAAAUGAGAUUAAUCUUGUUUCUAAUAGGUUUUCAUUAUUUUGCUUAAUUUCUUUUCAGAUUCUUUCCCUCAGUCUAACAGUAACCUCUGUAUUUCCAUCCAUCCAAUCUGGAGAGCUGUGAUCUGAGAACUCUCUUCCACAAUACUAUCUGAAACAAAUUAUCUCUGACUGCACUGCUUUCCCCCCACUAUAAAAUAAAUAAUGGCAUUUUAAUCCCAAUCUAAAAUACAUUUUAUCUUUCAUUUAAAUAUGUUUUUCCCAUUUACUAUUUAAUCUCUUUGAUUAUGUGAAUUCCAUCCAGCAGAAUGCUGCAAUACUAUUUUUUCCUGUCUAUCAACUUUAGGUAUUUCCAUUUCCACUUUUAUAGUAGUUGAGUAUGCCUGCCUUCACUUUUUCCUCAACUUCUUCCCUCUUCCUUGAGGAAAAGAUGUGGUAUUAUUAUAACCAAUGCAGAUUUCUCUUGUACCUUAAAGGCACCUUUCCAGGACUGGAGGGUGAGGAAAACCAGCACAUGUUCUCUUCAACUCUGCUACGCUAUAUUCCUAGAGUCAGAGUAAUGAAAUCCCAAUUUUAGCACAAUGUCUCUGGUGUACCUAUGAUUCACAGUACCCAGGAUUUUACCUUAAAGGCACUACCUCAAAGGCUUUAAAUGAACAUCUGGAAGCCCCUCUCUUACUAAAGGAAAAUGUAUAUAGACAGCAGACUGCAGUUAAAUACCUAUCUCAGACAUGGAAAACAGAGCAUAAAUACACUGUUCAGACAUAAGAAACAGAUCUAACUUAAAAUGUUUCUUAAGGAAUAAAGAAUUAGGCACCAACAUUUGCCUAUGGUAGCUGUGCUGCAAGAAUACAUAAAUGCACCUAGUUACAAAUUAUCUAUGCUUUGAGUUUAGCAUAAGGUGAUGCCCUUGUAAGGGGCAUCAACACUCUUGUCUUUUUUUCAGGGAAGAGAAAUUUAAAAAUAAGCAUGUAAAAACUACCUUUCUUUUCCAUCUCUUUUGAAGAGAUGCCAGCAAAUCUAGCCUCCUAGGUGUAUUUCAAGAUGCUCAAGAUCACACACAGAAUUCAGAAUCACUUUGAAUAUAACAUGAAGGAUUUCUGACUCAAAAUGAAUAUCCUGGUCUGUGCUAACACUGUAGGGCUAUUAGCAAGAGAGAAAAAAAAAAAACAGUAAUCCCAAAUUAUCCAUGUGACUGGUUAAACAAACAGUCUAGCACCUUAUUCAAGAGCCAUUUCCUUAAAUUCAUCUUAACUCUAAUAAGCGUGCCCUUGAGAUCAAUAGUAGCUCUGUCUUCUCCCCCAAACUGAUGUAAUUGAGCUUGUAUGUACCCCUGAUUGUUAGAAAAAAAGCAAAGGUUGACUCAGAGUGGACAAGCCUUCUCUUGGGGUAAGAAAAAUCAGCAGUACUAGAGGCUGUGGGCUAUGUGCAAAAGAAGGAAACAGAGAAGAGUAUGGGAAACCACAGUGCUAUUCAGUUACGGGGGAGAGAAGUGGAGACAAGAAGAAAAUCUUUACAGCUAGAUGUUGGUAACCCAGGCAUUUGACUAUAAAAGAGUCAGUGAUACAGCAGGGAAAAUAAAAGACCACCUGCAUCUGCUCCCAACUUUUGCAGGCUUCAGAUCCACAGAAACAUUUAGGUAUUCAGUUGGUGAUUAAGUGCUUAAGCUGUAGUUUAUUAACCUGAGCUUCAUUUUGAAUCUGGCUCUAAGUCAAAAAGACUCUGUCUGUACCAGUAAACUGAAAGGCUCUGUGCCCGUUCUCUGGCCCUGUGAGUAUAUGUCCUUGUGUGUUCUGCAUCCAUAUGGCUGACCUGUCUUCCCCUUCAAUGGUGCCGCCUCUAGGGGUGUGCCCAUGCUGUUCCCCAUGGUGUACCCUGGCGUCUUCUGGAAAAGCAUAGUUUGGCCUCGGCAAAAACAAUGUUGGGGACUGUGAGCAAUGGCACUGACUGUGUCCCAGCACUCGAGCCCAUGCCCUGGCACUGUUC